UGAGCCAGGUUGGUUUCUAUCUUUUAAUAAAGUAAAUAUUUUAGUACGAAAGGAUUAAAUAUUUUAAUUAAAUUAAAAUUGUUAUUUAUUUUGAAUAUUAUUAAAAAUUAAUUUUUAUAUUUGAUAAAAAAAAAAUUAUUUGUAUUUUUAAU
RNAcentral lists this ribosomal RNA (152 nucleotides) under Idaea degeneraria. RNAcentral's name for it is "partial 16S ribosomal RNA". The record is from RNAcentral. Lineage: Eukaryota; Metazoa; Arthropoda; Insecta; Lepidoptera; Geometridae.